Molecule: ribosomal RNA, 1773 nt
Filed under: Staphylococcus aureus
Lineage: Bacteria; Bacillati; Bacillota; Bacilli; Caryophanales; Staphylococcaceae
Description: partial 23S ribosomal RNA
Rfam family: Bacterial large subunit ribosomal RNA
Source: RNAcentral
AGAUUAAGUUAUUAAGGGCGCACGGUGGAUGCCUUGGCACUAGAAGCCGAUGAAGGACGUUACUAACGACGAUAUGCUUUGGGGAGCUGUAAGUAAGCUUUGAUCCAGAGAUUUCCGAAUGGGGAAACCCAGCAUGAGUUAUGUCAUGUUAUCGAUAUGUGAAUACAUAGCAUAUCAGAAGGCACACCCGGAGAACUGAAACAUCUUAGUACCCGGAGGAAGAGAAAGAAAAUUCGAUUCCCUUAGUAGCGGCGAGCGAAACGGGAAGAGCCCAAACCAACAAGCUUGCUUGUUGGGGUUGUAGGACACUCUAUACGGAGUUACAAAGGACGACAUUAGACGAAUCAUCUGGAAAGAUGAAUCAAAGAAGGUAAUAAUCCUGUAGUCGAAAAUGUUGUCUCUCUUGAGUGGAUCCUGAGUACGACGGAGCACGUGAAAUUCCGUCGGAAUCUGGGAGGACCAUCUCCUAAGGCUAAAUACUCUCUAGUGACCGAUAGUGAACCAGUACCGUGAGGGAAAGGUGAAAAGCACCCCGGAAGGGGAGUGAAAUAGAACCUGAAACCGUGUGCUUACAAGUAGUCAGAGCCCGUUAAUGGGUGAUGGCGUGCCUUUUGUAGAAUGAACCGGCGAGUUACGAUUUGAUGCAAGGUUAAGCAGUAAAUGUGGAGCCGUAGCGAAAGCGAGUCUGAAUAGGGCGUUUAGUAUUUGGUCGUAGACCCGAAACCAGGUGAUCUACCCUUGGUCAGGUUGAAGUUCAGGUAACACUGAAUGGAGGACCGAACCGACUUACGUUGAAAAGUGAGCGGAUGAACUGAGGGUAGCGGAGAAAUUCCAAUCGAACCUGGAGAUAGCUGGUUCUCUCCGAAAUAGCUUUAGGGCUAGCCUCAAGUGAUGAUUAUUGGAGGUAGAGCACUGUUUGGACGAGGGGCCCCUCUCGGGUUACCGAAUUCAGACAAACUCCGAAUGCCAAUUAAUUUAACUUGGGAGUCAGAACAUGGGUGAUAAGGUCCGUGUUCGAAAGGGAAACAGCCCAGACCACCAGCUAAGGUCCCAAAAUAUAUGUUAAGUGGAAAAGGAUGUGGCGUUGCCCAGACAACUAGGAUGUUGGCUUAGAAGCAGCCAUCAUUUAAAGAGUGCGUAAUAGCUCACUAGUCGAGUGACACUGCGCCGAAAAUGUACCGGGGCUAAACAUAUUACCGAAGCUGUGGAUUGUCCUUUGGACAAUGGUAGGAGAGCGUUCUAAGGGCGUUGAAGCAUGAUCGUAAGGACAUGUGGAGCGCUUAGAAGUGAGAAUGCCGGUGUGAGUAGCGAAAGACGGGUGAGAAUCCCGUCCACCGAUUGACUAAGGUUUCCAGAGGAAGGCUCGUCCGCUCUGGGUUAGUCGGGUCCUAAGCUGAGGCCGACAGGCGUAGGCGAUGGAUAACAGGUUGAUAUUCCUGUACCACCUAUAAUCGUUUUAAUCGAUGGGGGGACGCAGUAGGAUAGGCGAAGCGUGCGAUUGGAUUGCACGUCUAAGCAGUAAGGCUGAGUAUUAGGCAAAUCCGGUACUCGUUAAGGCUGAGCUGUGAUGGGGAGAAGACAUUGUGUCUUCGAGUCGUUGAUUUCACACUGCCGAGAAAAGCCUCUAGAUAGAAAAUAGGUGCCCGUACCGCAAACCGACACAGGUAGUCAAGAUGAGAAUUCUAAGGUGAGCGAGCGAACUCUCGUUAAGGAACUCGGCAAAAUGACCCCGUAACUUCGGGAGAAGGGGUGCUCUUUAGGGUUAACGCCCAG